This 253-nucleotide ribosomal RNA is filed under the name uncultured bacterium. RNAcentral describes it as "partial 16S ribosomal RNA". It matches the Rfam family "Bacterial small subunit ribosomal RNA", at positions 524 to 776 of the family's 1533-position model. The record is from RNAcentral.
UACGUAGGCAGCGAGCGUUGUUCGGAGUUACUGGGCGUAAAGGGUGUGUAGGCGGUCCUCUAAGUUUGGUGUGAAAUCUCCCGGCUCAACCGGGAGGGUGCGCCGAAAACUGGGGGGCUAGAGUGCGGGAUGGGUAAGUGGAAUUCCUGGUGUAGCGGUGAAAUGCGUAGAUAUCAGGAGGAACACCUGUGGUGUAGACGGCUUACUGGACCGCAACUGACGCUGAGACACGAAAGCGUGGGUAGCAAACAUG